Molecule: non-coding RNA, 270 nt
Organism: Pseudomonas sp.
Lineage: Bacteria; Pseudomonadati; Pseudomonadota; Gammaproteobacteria; Pseudomonadales; Pseudomonadaceae
Source: Rfam
AUACGUGUAGGGUGGAGAUGCACAACCGCCGGACUGUGUAGCAACAGGCUUUCUCCAGACGCUUCAUCUCGUCCACAGCCGCUGGUUGAUUCCUCCUCCUGACUGAGUGCUUAAGUAGCCACAGCAAGCAGGACGCGUACGUCGCGAUGAAGGCCCACAUUGGCCGGACUUCGCUGGACACGGGAAAUGGCCAACCACUCCCGACGCACCUGACACCGACCGUGAGAAGUCGUGUGUGCCGAACGCCGUUUCCGGCAGCCCGGAAACCGA